This 637-nucleotide non-coding RNA is filed under the name Stegodyphus mimosarum. Its description in RNAcentral is "Eukaryotic small subunit ribosomal RNA". It matches the Rfam family "Eukaryotic small subunit ribosomal RNA", at positions 1174 to 1613 of the family's 1831-position model. Lineage: Eukaryota; Metazoa; Arthropoda; Arachnida; Araneae; Eresidae. The record is from Rfam by way of RNAcentral.
GAAUGUGUCCUGCGGUUUGACUAAAUAACGGGAAAACCUACCCGGCCGCUGACACAGGGAGCUAGAAAGAUUUAAGAGCUUUUGCUUAAUUUUGUGGGAGAUGAUGCUUUGUUAGUAGAUGAGACGAUUUCUCUGGUUAAUUCCGAUAACAAAUGCGACUCUAGUUAACUAGAUAAGCGUUUUAAAUCUUAAGUCAAACGAUAUAUUUUGUUGGACGUUUUCACCCAAUUAUCGUAAAACUAAAGAACUUUAAUUGGAGUUUUUAUGUUGGCAGUCUUCGUAUUUGCAAUAAAGGGUAACACCAAAAUGACGCGGUGAUUGACUGUUGUUAAAUGUUCGAAUUCUUUAGCUAGAUGCUGAUUGGGGAAAAGCAUACAACUUUCUGAGGAGAGAGAAAAAAAAUGUAACGUCUUUCUUGCGAAGCUAAAGCCGGCAGAAAAAAAAUUAUUUAAAACAGUUGUUUGCCCGAAAACGACACAUGUUUUUUUAAUAAUAAAUUCUUUAAAUCUCCGAUAUCGCACGCUCACUUUCUUAAAGGAAUAAGCCUGCUACUUCGUUCGCUAGGACUGUGUAUUCCGUUGAAUUUCCUUCUUGGUGGGGAUAGAGACUUGUAAUUUUCCCCCUUGAACGAAGAUUC